GACGAACGCUGGCGGCGUGCUUAACACAUGCAAGUCGAACGGAAAGGCCCUGCUUUUGUGGGGUGCUCGAGUGGCGAACGGGUGAGUAACACGUGAGUAACCUGCCCUUGACUUUGGGAGAACUUCAGGAAACUGGGGCUAAUACCGGAUAGGAGCUCCUGCUGCGUGGGGGGGGUUGGAAAGUUUCGGCGGUGGGGGAUGGACUCGCGGGUUACCAGCUUGUUGGGGGGGUAGUGGCUUACAAGGGUUUUGACGGGUAGCCGGCCUGGGCGGGUGACCGGCCACCUUGGGCCUGCGAUACGGCCCAGAAUCCUACGGGAGGCAACAGUGGGGAGUAUUGCACAAUGGGCGGAAGCCUGAUGCAGCAACGCCGCGUGCGGGAUGAUGGCCUUCGGGUUGUAAACCGCUUUCGCCUGUGCCGAAGCGUGAGUGACGGUAAUGGGUAAAGAAGCACCGGCUAACUACGUG
RNAcentral lists this ribosomal RNA (468 nucleotides) under uncultured bacterium. RNAcentral's name for it is "partial 16S ribosomal RNA". It matches the Rfam family "Bacterial small subunit ribosomal RNA", at positions 28 to 507 of the family's 1533-position model. The record is from RNAcentral.